UGGGGUGUAGCCAAGUUGGUAAGGCAAUGCUUUUUGGUAGCAUGUACCGCUGGUUCGAGUCCAGCCACCCCAGCCA
This 76-nucleotide transfer RNA is filed under the name Algimonas ampicilliniresistens. Its description in RNAcentral is "tRNA-Gln". It matches the Rfam family "tRNA". From Rfam's summary of the family: Transfer RNA (tRNA) molecules are approximately 80 nucleotides in length. Their secondary structure includes four short double-helical elements and three loops (D, anti-codon, and T loops). Further hydrogen bonds mediate the characteristic L-shaped molecular structure. tRNAs have two regions of fundamental functional importance: the anti-codon, which is responsible for specific mRNA codon recognition, and the 3' end, to which the tRNAs corresponding amino acid is attached (by aminoacyl-tRNA synthetases). tRNAs cope with the degeneracy of the genetic code in two manners: having more than one tRNA (with a specific anti-codon) for a particular amino acid; and 'wobble' base-pairing, i.e. permitting non-standard base-pairing at the 3rd anti-codon position. RNAcentral also lists the same sequence under 1 other name. Lineage: Bacteria; Pseudomonadati; Pseudomonadota; Alphaproteobacteria; Maricaulales; Robiginitomaculaceae. The record is from RNAcentral.